This 571-nucleotide ribosomal RNA is filed under the name uncultured fungus. Its description in RNAcentral is "eukaryotic LSU rRNA". The stretch from base 209 to 362 matches the Rfam family "5.8S ribosomal RNA". Lineage: Eukaryota; Fungi. The record is from RNAcentral.
CUUGGUCAUUUAGAGGAAGUAAAAGUCGUAACAAGGUUUCCGUAGGUGAACCUGCGGAAGGAUCAUUACAGAAAGUAAACGCGGAUCACACCGCGAACUUCUAAACCUUUGACGAUUGACUCAUGUUGCCUCGGCGGGUUCUCCCGCCAGAGGAUACAUUAAAACUCCUGUUUUAACGGUGUUGUCUGAGCUACAAGCAACGAAUCAAAACUUUCAACAACGGAUCUCUUGGUUCUGGCAUCGAUGAAGAACGCAGCGAAAUGCGAUAAGUAGUGUGAAUUGCAGAAUUCAGUGAAUCAUCGAAUCUUUGAACGCACAUUGCGCCCCUUGGUAUCCCGAGGGGCAUGCCUGUUCGAGCGUCAUUUCACCACCCAAGCCUGGCUUGGUGUUGGGCGACGUCCCCUUCAGGGACGCGCCUCGAAACGCUCGGCGGCGUGGCACCGGCUUUAAGCGUAGCAGAAUCUUUCGCUUCAAAAGUCGGGGCCCCGUCUGCCGGAAGACCUACUCGCAAGGUUGACCUCGGAUCAGGCAGGGAUACCCGCUGAACUUAAGCAUAUCAAUAAGCGGAGGA